CGUCUGCUACAGACAAAGAUAACAAGGACAACUGGGCAAGUCCUUUAUGAUCUCCUCCAGUUACCGAAAGACCAAAAUCACCUCUUUAUAGAGCAGAUAUAAAGAGUGACACACACCCUUCCUCUGGACAAAUGGAGCUCUACUGAGGAGGAAGUCAGGAAUACUGCCUGCUGCUAAAUCGAUUGUCUACUGGAAGAGUUGGACGAGGCUAAAUCAAGAUGCUCAUUAAAAUCUUAUCCUAAAAGAAUUGUAUUAAUAAGACAUGCUGAAUCUGAGGGUAAUAUUGAUAAAUCUUUCUAUGCAACUACACCUGAUGCUAAACUAAAGGUUACUGAUAAAGGAAUAGAACAAGCUAAAGUAAAGAAUGGAAUUUGUUACUGUUAUUAUUAUUAUUAUUAUUAUUAUUAUUAUUAUUAUUAUUAUUAUUGUAACAAGAAAUAUAACAGAAUAAGGUGGACAAGAAAAUAUAGCAAGAUAAGGCAGAACAUAAUAUUAAUAAAAUAAAAUGAAAUAAGUCAAUAGAGAGAUUUCAUAAGUUUAAUGUUUAGUGGUGAGGAUAGAUAGUAAUCCCCGCUCCAUCCUCCAGAUUAAUGGUGCGAAUCUUAGCUCUGGUGCCUCUCACACAUAGAUUA
Amphimedon queenslandica is the source of this 632-nucleotide long non-coding RNA. RefSeq lists it as uncharacterized. The record is from RefSeq and is a predicted model, not a curated record. Lineage: Eukaryota; Metazoa; Porifera; Demospongiae; Haplosclerida; Niphatidae. The transcript has 3 exons.